This 500-nucleotide ribosomal RNA is filed under the name uncultured bacterium. Its description in RNAcentral is "partial 16S ribosomal RNA". It matches the Rfam family "Bacterial small subunit ribosomal RNA", at positions 899 to 1397 of the family's 1533-position model. The record is from RNAcentral.
ACUCAAAUGAAUAGACGGGGGCCCGCACAAGCGGUGGAGCAUGUGGUUCAAUUCGAAGCAACGCGCAGAACCUUACCAACCUUUGACAUCCCGAUCGCGGGCACCAGAGAUGGAGCCUUUCAGUUCGGCUGGAUCGGAGACAGGUGCUGCAUGGCUGUCGUCAGCUCGUGUCGUGAGAUGUUGGGUUAAGUCCCGCAACGAGCGCAACCCUCGCCCUUAGUUGCCAUCAUUCAGUUGGGCACUCUAAGGGGACUGCCGGUGAUAAGCCGGAGGAAGGUGGGGAUGACGUCAAGUCCUCAUGGCCCUUACAGGUUGGGCUACACACGUGCUACAAUGGCGGUGACAGAGGGAUGCAAUGGAGUAAUCCUGCGCAAAUCUCAAAAAGCCGUCUCAGUUCGGAUUGUGCUCUGCAACUCGAGCACAUGAAGUUGGAAUCGCUAGUAAUCGCAGAUCAGCACGCUGCGGUGAAUACGUUCCCGGGCCUUGCACACACCGCCCGU